CAACAGCUGGCAGGGGAGAUACCAUGAUCACAAAGGUGGUUUUCCCAGGGUGAGGCUCAUCCAUUGCACUGUGGGUGUGCUGACCCCUGCGAUUUCCCCAAAUGCGGGAAACUCGACUGCAUAAUUUGUGGUAGUGGGGGACUGCGUUUGUGCUAAAAAAAACCCAAA
Molecule: small nuclear RNA, 168 nt
Organism: Terrapene triunguis (Three-toed box turtle)
Lineage: Eukaryota; Metazoa; Chordata; Testudines; Emydidae
Gene: U1
Rfam family: U1 spliceosomal RNA
About the family: U1 is a small nuclear RNA (snRNA) component of the spliceosome (involved in pre-mRNA splicing). Its 5' end forms complementary base pairs with the 5' splice junction, thus defining the 5' donor site of an intron. There are significant differences in sequence and secondary structure between metazoan and yeast U1 snRNAs, the latter being much longer (568 nucleotides as compared to 164 nucleotides in human).
Source: Ensembl